Molecule: long non-coding RNA, 825 nt
Organism: Gasterosteus aculeatus aculeatus (three-spined stickleback)
Lineage: Eukaryota; Metazoa; Chordata; Actinopteri; Perciformes; Gasterosteidae
Source: Ensembl
CGAUGAAUGUGUGGACAUAGGGCAGACCUGAGGGUUCUGCUCCAAUCCAAAUGCAGAAAGAGACCGCGUGGGUUCUUCGAGGAUGGAGGUCAUACACAAGCGCGUCCUCUUCCAAAACAGUUCAGUACACAGGGAGUAGUCAGCCAGUCCAGGUUAAUCCAGUUCAUUCACCCUGGAUUCCCGUCACUCCCGCCUGGCAACUUGAACCUCUCCCCCACGUCACGACAUCACCGGAUGUCCCCCUUGUCCAAUAAAUACUCACCUUGUCACGAUCUACCUUGCAUAGUUUACAUUUGGGUUCACACUGGAGUUGUGACACCAAUGCUGUUUACUGGACAUGUUAUUUUUUGCGUUUUGUGUUUUUAUUCUGAAGCGCAGAGGCUGCUAUUAAUUCUACAUGAAUUAAAAAAACAACAACACAUUUCUGUUUAAAAAAAAUCAAAAAAUAGUUAAUUGUGUUUUAAAUACAAAAUUAUACAACCACUCUAUGGAAUGUCCUUUGGUGACACCACACACCAAAAGGCCCUCAGGCUUAAUAUGCUUAUUUCAAUGGAAUGUUUGACUGUGUCUCUUCUCUCAUCAAUACUCGUAGCGUCAGAUCUUAAUAAUGCAAACCAGUGGAUCCCGGUUGGAUGCAGCUGAUGCUUUUACUCACAUGCUCUGACCCUGUUUUUCUUAAACCCUCGCUUUCCAUCACUUGUCUGAGUUAUAAUCUUCAUUUGUUCGAGGUACACUAUUUACUAAAAACGCAAGCUUUCUUCCGAGUUUGAAUAUGGGACCAGAGUGUCAUCAACCAUAGUUUUUGCGCCAAAGCUGUUUUUUCAU